This 403-nucleotide ribosomal RNA is filed under the name uncultured bacterium. RNAcentral's name for it is "partial 16S ribosomal RNA". It matches the Rfam family "Bacterial small subunit ribosomal RNA", at positions 28 to 526 of the family's 1533-position model. The record is from RNAcentral.
GACGAACGCUGGCGGCGUGCCUAAUACAUGCAAGUCGAACGCAGUGGGGACGGGUGAGUAACACGUGGGUAACCUCCCAUCAGAGGGGAUAACACUUGGAAAAAGGUGCUAAACCGAUACUGAUGGAUGAACCCGCGGUGCAUUAGCUAGUUGGUGAGGUAACGGCUCACCAAGGCCACGAUGCAGAACCGGCCUGAGCGGGUGAUCGGCCACACGGGGACGAGGAAACGGCCCAGACUCCUACGGGAGGCAGCAGUAGGGAAUCUUCGGCAAUGGACGAAAGCCUGACCGAGAAAUGCCGCGUGAGUGAAGAAGGUUUUCGGAUCGUAAAACUCUGUUGUUAGGGAAGCGGUAUCUAACCAGAAAGCCACGGCUAACUACGUGCCAGCAGCCGCGGUAAUUC